GUGAACUGAGAUAGGACCACUGCACUCUAGCCUGGGUGAUAGAAGGAGACUCUGUCUCAGGGGGAAAAAAAAGAAAAUGUGGCAUAUAUACAUACAUACAUAUGUAUGGAAUAAAAAAUACAAUGCAGUCAUGCAGUCAUGUCUUUGGCAGCAACAUGGAUAUAACUGGAGGCCAUUAUCUUAAGUGAAAUAACUCAGUUUACUACAUGUUGUCACUUAUAAGCAGGAGCUAAAUAAUGUGUACACAUGGACAUAGAUUGUGGAAUAAUAGACACUGGAGACUUGGUAGGGUGGAAGGGUGGGAGGGGGUGAGGGAUGAGAAAUUACUUGAAAGGUACAUGUACACUGUUAGGGUGAUGGCUACUCUAGGGAGAGAGGUGAGGGACAAAAUAUUACAUAUUGGGUACCGUGUACACUACUCGAGUGACAGGUCUGUUUCCCACCCACUUUACUUUCCAUUCUUAGUUCCAUUUCUCUAGCCCAGUAUUUUUCUGGAACCAGAAGC
Molecule: long non-coding RNA, 505 nt
Filed under: Pan troglodytes (chimpanzee)
Lineage: Eukaryota; Metazoa; Chordata; Mammalia; Primates; Hominidae
Description: long non-coding RNA NONPTRT007576
Source: RNAcentral